GAUCAUGGCUCAGGAUGAACGCUGGCGGCGUGCCUAACACAUGCAAAUCGAACGAAGCACUUUAAUUGAUUUCUUCGGAAUGAAGUUUUUGUGACUGAGUGGCGGACGGGUGAGUAACGCGUGGGUAACCUGCCUCAUACAGGGGGAUAACAGUUGGAAACGACUGCUGAUACCGCAUAAGCGCACAGGAUUGCAUGAUCCAGUGUGAAAAACUCCGGUGGU
Molecule: ribosomal RNA, 222 nt
Filed under: uncultured bacterium
Lineage: Bacteria
Description: partial 16S ribosomal RNA
Rfam family: Bacterial small subunit ribosomal RNA
Source: RNAcentral